GAUUUGUUGGGCGUCGAGCGGCGGACGGGUGAGUAAUGCCUGGGAAAUUGCCCUGAUGUGGGGGAUAACCAUUGGAAACGAUGGCUAAUACCGCAUAACGUCUACGGACCAAAGAGGGGGACCUUCGGNCCUCUCGCUUCAGGAUAUGCCCAGGUGGNAUUAACUAGUUGGUGAGGUANUGGCUCACCAAGGCGACGAUCCCUANCUGGUCUGAGAGGAUGAUCAGCCACACUGGAACUGANACACGGNCCAGACUCCUANGGNAGGCNNCAGUGGGGAAUAUUGCACAAUGGGCGCAAGCCUGAUGCAGCCAUGCCGNGUGUAUGAAGAAGGCCUUCGGGUUGNAAAGUACUUUCAGUCGUGANG
Molecule: ribosomal RNA, 366 nt
Filed under: Vibrio sp. KR06-40
Lineage: Bacteria; Pseudomonadati; Pseudomonadota; Gammaproteobacteria; Vibrionales; Vibrionaceae
Description: partial 16S ribosomal RNA
Rfam family: Bacterial small subunit ribosomal RNA
Source: RNAcentral